RNAcentral lists this ribosomal RNA (254 nucleotides) under uncultured bacterium. Its description in RNAcentral is "partial 16S ribosomal RNA". It matches the Rfam family "Bacterial small subunit ribosomal RNA", at positions 524 to 776 of the family's 1533-position model. The record is from RNAcentral.
UACGUAGGUGGCAAGCGUUUGUCCGGAAUUAUUGGGCGUAAAGAGCUCGUAGGCGGUCUGUCACGUCGGCUGUGAAAACCCGGGGCUCAACCCCGGGCCUGCAGUCGAUACGGGCAGACUAGAGUGCGGUAGGGGAGACUGGAAUUCCUGGUGUAGCGGUGAAAUGCGCAGAUAUCAGGAGGAACACCGGUGGCGAAGGCGGGUCUCUGGGCAAUAACUGACGCUGAGGAGCGAAAGCGUGGGGAGCGAACAGG